UUGUACCAACUGGUUGGCCUCGAAAGUGAACCAAAGAACGGCGGAGAGCGUCCCAGGCUUCAGCAACCAUUGGAUGGGGCUCAAAAGAGUUCCGUGCCGAUGAAGCUGGGGUGUCCAAGGCAGACCUUCCAGGCGAGUAAGCACUCUCAUAAUUAUCUAAUCCUCUGCUUAGGCCUAUGGAUAACUCACUGAGAGACCUCUAGGCGAGUAAGCACUCUCAUUAUUAUCUAAUCCUCUGCUUAGGCCUAUGGAUAACUCACUGAGAGACCUCUCAUCAAAAGAUCUCUGCCUCUCAAUGUUUAGCCUUGGCUUGUCAAGAAGCUUAGAGAGAUCAUAAU
This 338-nucleotide long non-coding RNA is filed under the name Nicotiana benthamiana. RNAcentral describes it as "long non-coding RNA (NBEN_LNC024161)". The record is from RNAcentral. Lineage: Eukaryota; Viridiplantae; Streptophyta; Magnoliopsida; Solanales; Solanaceae.